AACGCGUGGGAACGUACCCUUCACUACGGAAUAGUCCCGGGAAACUGGGUUUAAUACCGUAUACGCCCUUCGGGGGAAAGAAUUUCGGUGAGGGAUCGGCCCGCGUUAGAUUAGUUAGUUGGUGGGGUAAUGGCCUACCAAGACUACGAUCUAUAGCUGGUUUGAGAGGAUGAUCAGCAACACUGGGACUGAGACACGGCCCAGACUCCUACGGGAGGCAGCAGUGGGGAAUCUUAGACAAUGGGGGCAACCCUGAUCUAGCGAUGCCGCGUGAGUGAUGAAGGCCUUAGGGUCGUAAAGCUCUUUCGCCUGUGAUGAUAAUGACAGUAGCAGGUAAAGAAACCCCGGCUAACUCCGUGCCAGCAGCCGCGGUAAUACGGAGGGGGUUAGCGUUGUUCGGAAUUACUGGGCGUAAAGCGCACGUAGGCGGAUUAGUCAGUCAGAGGUGAAAUCCCAGGGCUCAACCCUGGAACUGCCUUUGAUACUGCUAGUCUUGAGUUCGAGAGAGGUAAGUGGAAUUCCGAGUGUAGAGGUGAAAUUCGUAGAUAUUCGGAGGAACACCAGUGGCGAAGGCGGCUUACUGGCUCGAUACUGACGCUGAGGUGCGAAAGUGUGGGGAGCAAACAGGAUUAGAUACCCUGGUAGUCCACACCGUAAACGAUGAAUGCCAGUCGUCGGGUAGCAUGCUAUUCGGUGACACACCUAACGGAUUAAGCAUUCCGCCUGGGGAGUACGGUCGCAAGAUUAAAA
This 750-nucleotide ribosomal RNA is filed under the name Celeribacter sp. RNAcentral's name for it is "bacterial SSU rRNA". It matches the Rfam family "Bacterial small subunit ribosomal RNA", at positions 112 to 899 of the family's 1533-position model. The record is from RNAcentral. Lineage: Bacteria; Pseudomonadati; Pseudomonadota; Alphaproteobacteria; Rhodobacterales; Roseobacteraceae.